Molecule: RNA transcript, 1401 nt
Organism: Chenopodium quinoa (quinoa)
Lineage: Eukaryota; Viridiplantae; Streptophyta; Magnoliopsida; Caryophyllales; Amaranthaceae
Exons: 10
Source: RefSeq, a predicted model, not a curated record
CGUACUUGUAUUAGUUUAUCAAGUAGGCCCGCAAAAUUGGGCAAGUUAACACAAACCCAGAACCCUGCAAAACCCAAAGACUAACCAGAAAGAAGAGAAAUGGUGCAACCACCGUACGAGCCAUACUACCUCCACCAAAACCGCCACCAACCACCAGAAUACUACUUCCACCACAACAUCAGCGAAACUAUAAACCCUAAUUUCAACCAUUCUCAUGAUUUCAUCUCCAAUUCCAGUAAUAAUCCCAGUAUUAGCACCACCCCAAUUAUCCCAAUUCACAUCCCCAAAUCACAGCGUCAUAUCAACACCCUCUUCGUCUCCGGCCUCCCUGACGAUGUCAUGCCUCGCGAAAUUUACAACCUUUUCCGCCGUCGUCCUGGGUUCGAUUCUUGUCAGCUCAAGUUUACUGGCCGCGGCAAUCAAGUAGUUGCAUUUGUGACAUUUUAUAACCAUCAAUCAGCUGUGCUGGCAUUACAAGCCUUAGAUGGUAUCAAGUUUGAUCCACAAGCUGGAUCAGUUCUGCAUAUUGAACUGGCUAGAUCAAACUCAAGGCGAAAACAUAAACCAGGUAGUGGACCUUAUGUUGUGAUCGAUAAAAGGAAAAUAUCUGCAGAUGAUGCUGAAGAUACAUCAAGUGAUGAUGGUGAUAAUGAGUCUGAUCAGAGUGAAGACCCUGACUCUUCCAACAAUAAUACGCAGUCCACUGUGAAAAGUGAGGAGAACGUGAAACUUGGUGGUACUGUGGCUGCUGCAAAUGAGCAGACAGAAAAGGCCUCUCAAGGCGAUCUAAGGCCAUGCUCCACCUUGUUUAUUGCUAAUUUAGGGCCUAACUGCACUGAGGAUGAACUUAGACAAGCACUUUCUCAGUAUAUAUUCUGGAUUCAAUGGGCUGAAGCUGCGUGCUAGAGGUGGCAUGCCAGUUGCAUUUGCGGAUUAUGAGGAAGUAGAACAAGCUACUCAUGCAAUGCAAACACUUCAGGACAGCACGUUGCCGUCUUCAGACAGGGGUGGCAUGCACAUUGAAUAUGCUAGGUCUAAAAUGAGAAAGCCAUAGGCAAAGAAAUAUCGGGAUAUUCAUGCGAUAGUGCUUCUUAAGUGCAUUAUUGUAAGCAAUGGCAGAUGCUGCAUCUGUAGUUGUCCCUUUUCUCCUUGAAUACUAGUUUUAGUAAAUUAACAAGUCGCACACAGAUAAAGCUUGUAAACUCUGAAGAUCAUUUCUGACAUGCAGACAACUAAAUCUUACCAUAGCUUUUAGUAAGAUUUUCAAGGCUUUUUAGUGCUGUGCGCUCAGCUUACAAUUGUGCCCCAGUUUGUAUUUGGUACUGUAUACUCAACAAGAUAGACAGCAAAUGAAAGAUAUACUGUACGGAGUUAGAAAGUUAUGCCAUCUGUUUAGCAAAA